CUUUCCUGUACGCACGGACAACAAUAAUAAAAAAACGUGCACAGACGACCCAGUUCGCAUCGCGCACGGACGGCUCAGAUUGAAUCGCGCACGAACGGCUCAAAUUGAAUCGCGAUGAACGGUCCAGAUUCAUUUCUUAUUUAAUCGCGAUCAGACAGUCUAGAUUAAAUGCGAUGGACGACUCAGAUCAAAAGCAGAUGCUUAUAAAUAAUCUCAUCCGCACCCAAACCCAAACCCUAGUCACCAGAGCCCCUCGCCGGAAAAGAUAGCCCAGCCGCCUGGGAGUUAACUACCGUCCACCGCCGCCGCACUGGAGCAAUUUUCGGUCGCCAAACGAGGU
This 340-nucleotide long non-coding RNA is filed under the name Carica papaya (papaya). RNAcentral describes it as "long non-coding RNA (CPAP_LNC005891)". The record is from RNAcentral. Lineage: Eukaryota; Viridiplantae; Streptophyta; Magnoliopsida; Brassicales; Caricaceae.